GUCACCUGGAUGGACUGAUUGCCUCAGUUAAUUUAAGGAAAGUUUUGGGCCAAAUUAUUGAGGUAAAUAUUUUGAUUAAAUUUUGCUUAGAGCAGUGUGGAUGAAGCUUCUGAAUCCAAAUCAAGACCAAAGUUUUCCAAACACACUGAAGGAGAGAAGUGAGCCUUUGAUGAAAACCGAAACCCGCUCUGCAGAGUCCCAGGCAGUUGACAAUGGCUGGCCUGGAUGAUGCAGGUGAUCAGGGCUAUGCCAGGUAGCUUGGGGACUCAGCCGUGGGGACAGGAGGUGAGGUCCCUCCCCAUUAUCCAGACUGGCCAUUCAGUACCUACCCCUGCCUUCUAAACUGUGGAAAGUGUCCUGUCCUGGGCUGACUCAGGUGUUUGCAUCAAACCUUUAAUCAGCUGUUAUCAGCGGACGGCCCCGUACAGCACGGCCAGCUUGUUUUAUGAACCGUCUACCCGGGGUCCAGUGGUCAGAUCCCAGGGGGCAACAUGGGCUUGGGUGGAACUGCACUGUCCAUGAAGGGGCCAAGGCUACACUUCACAGAAUUAGGAUGAUUUCUGUUGUGUUUUAGCAAAACCUCAUGAUUUUAGCGUCACUAUGAGGCUAGGAUCUACAGGACCUGAAGGAGACCCCAAGGAAGGUGUGGGUAUCUGCUGCUGUUUCCGGGGCUUAUUUCUGCUUGCUGCCUCGGUACGAUUUUCAGUGUCGCAAGGCUUUGCAGGAAUAUUUUAAGCUGCAGGGUCACUGUUUUUGCUAAAAACAGAUGGAUGACGUAUGAAUCCACCCGAAUGGAACCAUGUAGAUAGAAAUUGUCAAGAAACAACCAAGGGAGAGAUCGAGCCCAGGCUCUGUCUCACCUGCCUCAGCUCAGCUUCCCUCUAGGC
This 887-nucleotide long non-coding RNA is filed under the name Marmota monax (woodchuck). Lineage: Eukaryota; Metazoa; Chordata; Mammalia; Rodentia; Sciuridae. The record is from RNAcentral.